Molecule: ribosomal RNA, 907 nt
Filed under: uncultured organism
Description: bacterial SSU rRNA
Rfam family: Bacterial small subunit ribosomal RNA
Source: RNAcentral
GGCUCAGAGCGAACGUUAGCGGCAGGCUUACACAUGCAAGUCGAACGAGAAAGUAUGCGCUUGCGUAUACGAGUAGAGUGGCGCACGGGUGAGUAACACGUAAACAAUCUAUCCUUUGGUUGGGGAUAACUACUGGAAACGGUAGCUAAUACCCGAUAAGUCUGAGAGGUCUGCGGAUUUUUCAGAGAAAGGCGAGACACGCCGGAGGGUGAGUUUGCGUCCCAUCAGCUAGAUGGUAGGGUAAGGGCCUACCAUGGCGAUGACGGGUAGCUGGUUUGAGAGGAUGAUCAGCCACACUGGGACUGAGACACGGCCCAGACUCCUACGGGAGGCAGCAGUGGGGAAUAUUGGACAAUGGGGGCAACCCUGAUCCAGCCAUGCCGCGUGAAGGAAGAAGGUUUUCGGAUCGUAAACUUCUGUUGGGGGGGAAGAAAGACCGUUUUAUAGACGGUGAUGACGGUACCUCCUUAGCAAGCACCGGCUAACUCCGUGCCAGCAGCCGCGGUAAUACGGAGGGUGCGAACGUUGCUCGGAAUCACUGGGCUUAAAGGGCUCGUAGGCGGUUAUGUAAGUUAGGUGUGAAAUCCCCGGGCUUAACCCGGGACGUGCACUUAAAACUGUGUAACUGGAGUACAGGAGAGGAUAGCGGAAUUCCCGGUGUAGAGGUGAAAUUCGUAGAUAUCGGGAAGAACACCAGAGGCGAAGGCGGCUAUCUGGACUGUAACUGACGCUGAUGAGCGAAAGCGUGGGUAGCGAACAGGAUUAGAUACCCUGGUAGUCCACGCUGUAAACGAUGAGUGCUAGACGUCGGGUGUAUUAACACAUUCGGUGUCGCAGUUAACGCGCUAAGCACUCCGCCUGGGGAGUACGGCCGCAAGGCUAAAACUCCAAGGAAUUGACGGGGGCC